Molecule: long non-coding RNA, 848 nt
Organism: Mastomys coucha (southern multimammate mouse)
Lineage: Eukaryota; Metazoa; Chordata; Mammalia; Rodentia; Muridae
Exons: 3
Source: RefSeq, a predicted model, not a curated record
CAAAGAUUUCUAGGAUUCUUAUCCAAUUAUGCUAAGAGCUCAUAUUUCUACAGUACUUACAAGGUGCAAGGCACAAUGCUAAGUGAUCUACCUUUGAGUUAGCUCAUAGUGAGUGUAGAAUUUCCUGACAUAAUAAUGGAAGAACAGUGAGCCACAGCUAACAGAUGUCACUGACCCUUUAUGACAACAUACCCUAGAAGAAAAGGGAACUCAAGCCCCUCCCACAGGGCAACUGCCAGAAGCAAAAUGAAAGCAUCCCCAUUGGGUCAUGUAAAUCUAGCUAUAAGUCAAAGGCAAAUCUACUCUGUCUCUCCCAAAACAUUCGAUGUGCACUUAGACUAACCAAGUCUGAGUCUAAGUGGAACGCAGUUGACAAAUGACCAGCAUUGUACUGCUCUGCAGGACGGCAGUCCACCACGAAGAACCGGACUCCUUCCUGAAAAGAAAACAACAUGUGACAUUGUGGAACUAGACUGUAUGGAACCCCAGGCCUCAAGCACUUGAAGCACACACUCUAACCUUGAGCUCCAGCUGCUCCAGCUCCUUACGUUCAGAGGACACAGGUCCCAGUGGGAUGCUCUGCUUACCCUUGCACACGUCCCGACAGGUGGGAUGCUCUGCUUACCCCUUGCAACUGACUUGCUUGAAGAAUCUCUGAUACGGAAACAGCCAGACACAGAGCCUGGCUCAGAUCUGCUUCGUCAUCCUUGAUUCCCAACAGAGUACUACCAAAGAGAUGAUGAUUAUCCUACACAAAGAGAAAACUGUAAACAUUACAAAGAAAAGUCAAAGUGUUCUUCCUGAAAAUAUUUUAUUAUGUAUAAUAAAAUGUGAAAUAAUUGUUACCA